UUGAUACAGGACAGUCACUUGCCCAGUAACUUCACUGUGUUUGGCCAAGCAAGCUACAGAUUAGUGCCUAGGCUAAUCAUUGAUCCAGGUGGCAUUCAACAGUUUAAGCCUGCAAUGUAAGUAACCCCGGACUUUUUGAUCUGGGUCAGCAUACUCCGAAGCAAGGCCAGUGACACCGUGGCAGGAGAAUGCUGCUUUCCUCGGUCCCGGCAGGAAAAAUGAAGAUGCCACAUGUUCACUGGAAAUCCUGCCAGGCCAUAAAAGAAGAAGGAGGAGGAAAGCCAACCUCUGCUAGGGGGCUGCUGCUAGAUGCAGAUGGUGCAGCAACAUGGAAAGAGGUUGGCGUUUUCCACCUGGCCCGGAGGCAUGCUGGAGUAGAUGGACCAAUGGUCUGGCCUGGCCAAUUCUCGGCACCACACUCCGCCUUCUUUUAUGUGUGCACAUCUCCCAGUGACAUCAUCGCGGCACUGCUCCCCUCCAGCCUUCCCACCCGCCUCAGCUGGGUUAUGCGGACGACCUGGAGCAGGAUUCAGCUCCGCGUUUCUCAAAGGGACGUCCGUGUGGUUUUCUUGCAUGCAAUGAUCAAAGCCCCACGUGCGCCGUAGCAAGUCGGACUGACAUUCUGCAGCAACGGGUGGAGAUUCACCCCGGGAAUAAAUGUGAACAGUCCCUGGGCCCCUCAAUCCAGCACUGUAGAAGAGUCAAAUAAAGAGGAGGCGUUAAAUCAGGGCAUGUAGAGCCACUUGGAACGGGGCUGGGACCCGCAGUGCUGCUUUGGGAGGUGGUUGAUGAUAGUAUGGGGCUCACUCCUUCCCUGCCUCCCUCCAACGGUCACAAGGUCGCAGACGACAGGAGUUUGGAGGUUUCUGGCGAGCACAACCGUGGCACUGAACAGCCAAGGGGACCCAUGGGGAAUGCUGGCAUUGCCCACCGGUUAGGCACUGCACAAUGGAAGCCAUUUGCAGAGCAUAACAACAACUUUAUGGAACCCACUAAUUUACAGGCACUAAUUUAUUCCUAUGUGCUAGCAGAUGAGAUUUUUUUUCCAUGAACCAACUUCAGUUAGAGACGUAUCUCUUUAGAGAGCAGUCCUGUAACACGCCCUGCCGAGGCGGGGCCAGAAGUUACUUCCUACCUGUGUGACAUGAACUCAAUGGAUACAAUGCUCUACCUUGGUUGCAUUACAGAAUCAAUGGAUACCUAGUAUAAAAAGCCCCUUUCCAGAAACUGCCUGGCUGAGCCCAAAUAUACAUUCCAUUUGCCGUUUAGUGCCCCAGGAGGGAGGCAGCUGUGAGUUAAUUCAGCCUGAGCAUGUUCUCCGAUCGCUUCCCAAGUUUAUGAGAACCAUAUAUUUUAUUUCAAAGUGACUGAGGAAUAAUCAAUACACACUCCCCCAAAAGAAUAAGAGACACAGCUAAGUCAAACAAGGGCAAGUGUCUGCCUGGGCAGCGCGGAUUCACUUCUGGCUGGGUAAUAAAUAAACGUCAUAACCAAAAGCAAACUAUAAUCAUUUCUUCGCCCCAAACAAAAUAAGCUGCAAAGUGAAGUGGGUAAGACUUAGUACCAAAUAGUAGGAGCUGUGCCCCAGGUUAGAAGGCAGCAGAAUAAUGGGAGUGUUGCUGUAAGCAGCCAGCAUUUGGUGUUAUG
This 1647-nucleotide long non-coding RNA is filed under the name Chelydra serpentina (North American snapping turtle). RNAcentral's name for it is "lncRNA (ENSCSRG00000019601.1)". Lineage: Eukaryota; Metazoa; Chordata; Testudines; Chelydridae. The record is from RNAcentral.